Molecule: ribosomal RNA, 468 nt
Filed under: uncultured bacterium
Lineage: Bacteria
Description: partial 16S ribosomal RNA
Rfam family: Bacterial small subunit ribosomal RNA
Source: RNAcentral
GAUGAACGCUGGCGGCGUGCCUAACACAUGCAAGUCGAGCGAUUUACUUCGGUAAAGAGCGGCGGACGGGUGAGUAACGCGUGGGUAACCUGCCCUGUACACACGGAUAACAUACCGAAAGGUAUGCUAAUACGAGAUAAUAUGCUUUUAUCGCAGGGUAGAAGUAUCAAAGCUCCGGCGGUACAGGAUGGACCCGCGUCUGAUUAGCUAGUUGGUAAGGUAACGGCUUACCAAGGCGACGAUCAGUAGCCGACCUGAGAGGGUGAUCGGCCACAUUGGAACUGAGACACGGUCCAAACUCCUACGGGAGGCAGCAGUGGGGAAUAUUGCACAAUGGGCGAAAGCCUGAUGCAGCAACGCCGCGUGAGCGAUGAAGGCCUUCGGGUCGUAAAGCUCUGUCCUCAAGGAAGAUAAUGACGGUACUUGAGGAGGAAGCCCCGGCUAACUACGUGCCAGCCGCCGCAGUAA